This 338-nucleotide long non-coding RNA is filed under the name Equus asinus (donkey). RNAcentral's name for it is "lncRNA (ENSEASG00005035008.1, ENSEASG00020034172.1)". Lineage: Eukaryota; Metazoa; Chordata; Mammalia; Perissodactyla; Equidae. The record is from RNAcentral.
CAUUAGUCUAGGGUAUCUACAACCUCCUCCAUGUCCAGUGACUUGUGGACUGAAGAGCUAGCCGCAAAGUUCGAACUUCCUGCAAUUACUGAACUGAACUGAACCAUGGUAAAUGAAAGGUGAACUGAGAUGUUGGAGGACUGGGUUAUUUAACUAAACCAUGGUAACUGGAAAUCGUGCAUGUCAGAACCAUGCAAAGUGAGGCCUGUGUGUACAUGAUGCAGUUCAGCACUGGUAUCCAAUGGAACCUAAACACAAUGGAGAUUUGAUAUCUACCACCAUCCAUUAAAAAAGGCAUUAAUGAUCCAGCCAUACCGCUGCUAGACACCGGAGAGAAA